UACGGGGGGAGCAAGCGUUGUUCGGAUUUACUGGGCGUAAAGGGCGCGUAGGCGGCCUGUGCAAGUCAGUUGUGAAAUCUCCGAGCUUAACUCGGAACGGUCAACUGAUACUGCUCGGCUAGAGUGCGGAAGGGGCAACUGGAAUUCUUGGUGUAGCGGUGAAAUGCGUAGAUAUCAAGAGGAACACCGGUGGCGAAGGCGGGUCUCUGGGCAGUAACUGACGCUGAGGAGCGAAAGCGUGGGGAGCGAACAGG
This 254-nucleotide ribosomal RNA is filed under the name uncultured bacterium. RNAcentral describes it as "partial 16S ribosomal RNA". It matches the Rfam family "Bacterial small subunit ribosomal RNA", at positions 524 to 776 of the family's 1533-position model. The record is from RNAcentral.